UUGACCUCAAAUCAGGUAGGGAUACCCGCUGAACUUAAGCA
RNAcentral lists this ribosomal RNA (41 nucleotides) under Tuber texense. Its description in RNAcentral is "partial 28S ribosomal RNA". The record is from RNAcentral. Lineage: Eukaryota; Fungi; Ascomycota; Pezizomycetes; Pezizales; Tuberaceae.